Molecule: unclassified non-coding RNA, 1295 nt
Filed under: Bombus terrestris (buff-tailed bumblebee)
Lineage: Eukaryota; Metazoa; Arthropoda; Insecta; Hymenoptera; Apidae
Description: misc RNA ENSBTSG00005037637.1
Source: RNAcentral
AAAUAUAGUAGAAAUAUAGUACGAUGAUUAUGAUAAUAUGGACAUGAUACAAUGGCUGAAUGGAUUUAAUAUGAUUCUUUUAAUUAAUCGUGACGCUAGGUUUAUCUCUGCAUCGAAUAAUCAUUUGGAACGUGGAUAUAAGGAUGCUGAGGGUACUCGAUAAUCGAGUGACUUUCGUGACUUCGAGUGAUUUCACUCAACGUCCAACGAACAGCUCGAAGCCGAAUACCAGGAAUAGUAAGAAAUUUCUUCUACACAGAAAGGAGAAGCAAGCUUACCCUUCGUACAAUAAAUAGAAGGAGCUACAUACGUUUUUAAUCGCGAAGAUCGCGGUAAACUUACGAAAUUUGGAAACGUCAAGGGUGUCGUAAGGUUUCUGUGAAUCCUUUUUAUGGAUUCCCGUGAGUCUCGAUUUACUGCCGCUUUUCGUAUUUCUUGUGCGUAUUAAAGGACCUUGCACGACGCAAUCUCAGCGGAAAAUCUUAGCAAUAAAACGUCCAGCUGUUAACCACAACUGGCAUUGAAAAAUUUGGAAAUGUCGUAAAAGUCCAGAUUGUCGAAGUAACACGUGCACGUUGUUCAAGUAACAUCGUAAAAAACAAUUUAGAGGAGACAAUUAUUAUAAUAGAAUUUCUCGAAUAAUUAGUAUGACGUGUGCCAUGUGAAUAAAUAGUCGUGUUUGAUGUGGUAUUAUUAGUUUCCAAUCAAAUUUAACUGUUCUUUUGGCAAUCUACGUAAGAGAUUCAAAGCAAACAAAUCCAUCGACUGUAAGUAUUUAUUAAACAUUUCUAAACUCAAAAUAAAAGAGGGAGAGAGAGAGAGAGAGAGAGAAAGAGAGAGACAGUAACGACUCGCCACUUUUUAUUUUGCUAAUCUAAAAUAAAUUUAUUCAGCAGUUUACCAAGGCCCACCUUUACCUAGUUUGAUGCAAAUGAGAAACGGUAAGUGUUAGCAACACCAUUUCCAAGAAACUUGAGGUACUAUGUCAAACUUAGUUGACACGAGAAGCAACCACUGUACGCUUAACUGACGGUCACGGAAUACAUUACUUCUUGAUACAAUCUUCCUGCUUGAUUUCCCUUUACCUUUGAUUUUCUCCUACCUCUGGAAACCACUUUGGUAUUUAAUAUUAACACAGUUCUUUAGAUGGAACAACUAGCUCUCUCGAUAAACUUAAAUAUAAAUAGAGAACUUUGUUACGAAUUUAAUUUUAGAACAAUUAGUGGAAUGUUUGUCAAUCUGCAUUCAAAGUGAAUAAAAUUCGCGUUAUGGAAUUAUUCCUUUCAUAAAUAAGC